RNAcentral lists this long non-coding RNA (351 nucleotides) under Carica papaya (papaya). RNAcentral's name for it is "long non-coding RNA (CPAP_LNC016188)". The record is from RNAcentral. Lineage: Eukaryota; Viridiplantae; Streptophyta; Magnoliopsida; Brassicales; Caricaceae.
AACAAGAUUAUGAUUCAACUGUACAUCACCUAUGUGAUGAACAAACUUAACAAAAGCAUCAGAUAAACAUAUUGGUGUAGGUUUAAUAAUCUGUGUGGGUGAAUGAAUUAGUGUAAUAUCUACACACAUAUGGCUAGAUACCCCUACGUCUAUUAUCCAAGUACCUAUUUCUAAACAAUCAAUUGAAUUUAGUGCAUGUAAAACAACAAAACCUGCAAAAUCCUUUAAAUGAGCUAAGUUGACACUUUCAGCUUGAACAUUUUUGUUCUUCAUGAAUUUACUGAACUCCUUUUAGAUCAUGUCACUCAACUUUGCUCCCCAAUUAUCGUUCACUGCAUUCUGUAGCGUCUC